AUGGCGCCCGCGACGGUGACGGAGACAUCCAUAAUCCUUCCACCACACUUUGUUCUCGUCCCGCUUAUUGGGCACGGCCACACCAUCCCCAUGUCGGACCUUGCCUGCCUCCUCGCGGGACGCGGUGCGAGAGUGAGCCUCGUCACCACGCCCGUCAACGCGGCGCGCCUGGGGGGACUAGCCGACAGGGCGCGGCACGCCAUGCUGUCCCUGGAGAUAGUCGAGCUCCCAUUCCUGCUGGCCGAUGAUGGACUGCCCACUGGCAGCACCGCCAGCGUUGACAGCUUCCUCCGGUUGUUCCUCGGCCUUUACAGGCUCGCCGGGCCGCUCGAGGCCUAUGUGCGUGCGCUGCCGCGGCGCCCAAGCUGCAUCAUCUCCGACGCCUGCAAUCCGUGGACGGCCGGCGUCGCAAGGAGCGUUGGGGUCCCGCGGCUCUUCUUCCACGUGCCUUCCGUCUUCUACUCGCUCUGCGACCUGAACGUCGCAACGUGUGGCCAAGGCAACCAUGGCGCAUCGUAUGUCGUGCCGGGCAUGCCGGUGCGCGUAGAGAUGGCGAAGGAGACAUGGUCGUCGUCCUUCUAUACCACGCCUGAGUGGGAGCAGUUCACAAAGGAGGCGCGGGAGGCCAUGCGCACGGCCGACGGUGCCGUGAUGAACACCUUCCUAGGCCUCGAGCAACAGUUCAUCACGUCCUAUGAGGCGGCACUGGGCAAGCCGGUGUGGGCGCUCGGGCCCUUCUGCCUCGGUAACCGGCGGGAGAAGGAGGCCGUCAACCAGAGCCCGGUCACCGCCUGGCUCGACAAGAUGGACGAGAACACGGUCAUUUAUGUCAAUUUCGGCAGCCUCGUGCGGAUGCCUCCCAAACAGCUGUACGAGGUCGGACAAGGCCUCGAGGACUCUGGGAAGCCAUUCCUUUGGGUGGUGAAGGAGUCCGAGACGGCGUUGCCAGAAGCGCAAGAGUGGCUCCAAGCCCUGGAGGCACGAACGGCAGGGCAGGGGCUCAUAUUGCGUGGCUGGGCGCCUCAACUCGCCAUCAUGUCGCACCGUGCUGUAGGCGGCUUCAUGACCCACUGUGGGUGGAACUCCCUACUAGAGUCCAUUGCGCACGGCGUGCCUGUCGUGACGUGGCCUCACUUCAGCGACCAGUUCCUCAACGAGAGGCUGGUCGUGGAAGUACUUGGGGUCGGCGUGUCCUUAAUGCCGUUCGGUAAGGAUACGGCCGUGGUGCGGGGGCACAUUGCGCAAGCGGUGUCGGAGCUGAUGGGCGAUGGGGCGGUGGCAGAGGAGAGGAGGAGAAAGUGCAAGGAUUAUGGGGAGAGAGCUCAUACAGCCGUAGCGAAAGGAGGAUCGUCCCAUGAAAACCUAACGCGGCUAUUACAGAAUUUCAUGCCGAGUGGCAGCAAGGAACUGUAG
This 1413-nucleotide ribosomal RNA is filed under the name Triticum aestivum (bread wheat). RNAcentral describes it as "partial small subunit ribosomal RNA". The record is from RNAcentral. Lineage: Eukaryota; Viridiplantae; Streptophyta; Magnoliopsida; Poales; Poaceae.